This 14120-nucleotide long non-coding RNA is filed under the name Lynx pardinus (Iberian lynx). Lineage: Eukaryota; Metazoa; Chordata; Mammalia; Carnivora; Felidae. The record is from RNAcentral.
UCACACAACAGAUAACUGUCACCCUGACACCUUAUCCUCUCUUUUAUUCUUACUUCUGAGUUUACUUCGUUUCUUAUCCAAACUGGACCCAUACAGUGCCCCUGUUGUUUCUCUCACCAGGAUAUUCGUGAUUCCCUAGCUUGAAUCAAUGCAACAAUCUACCUUUUAACUCAGAUAAGCAAUCAAUGUCAAUUAGAAUUCUGAUGCAAAAAUUGCUCUGAUUUCCAUUCACCAUAAAAAUCCCUUCGUUUACUCAUUUAUUCACUUUUUCAGGAAAUCUUUACUGACUACCUACUUAGCAUCUAGUGUGCCUGAUGCAGACUUCCAUAUAUUCUCAGAUUCUCCAGUGAUUCACUUUCCCUUGCAGCAGAUGAGCUAGAUCUUUGAGAAGAACAUUGAUGAUAGCAUGAACUGUCGGUAAUUCUAUCUACCCCUUGACAUAAAUUUAAACAGUUAUUUCUGUUUUUAAAAUGGGAAUUUGUCUCAGCACGAUUGAUGUUUCAAGAAACAACUUAAGUGCAACUCAAAUUUGAUAUUGGCUUAGGCAUGCUUUCAUCCAUGAGAAACACCAGGUAAACAUAGAAAGCUACACUAAGUUGAACUGAGCUCACAGAAAUAAACAAAAUGCACCCACAAACAUCUACCAGCUCAAUUCCCCCAUGUGUGUUAUGAUCCACACCCAUCCACACCUAGCAUUGCUACUUUCCAGGCCAUUUUAGCCAACUCUUCUUUCUCCAGUUCAUGCUGACUCACAAGCUAGAAUCCUCCCAACAUCCACUUCCCCAAGUUUUUUUCAAGGUAAAGUGUCAUCUUUAUUGUAGUGUAUCUGUAUUAAUUAUCCACUUAAGAAUGUGUAAAACUGUGCUAGCAUUUAAUAAAAUUUGCAUCCAUUUUAUUAAAAGUUCAUUUCUUUAUUUUUAUAGAGGGUGGUAGGGGCAAAGAGAAAGAGACAGAGAGAGAAUCUCAAGCAGACUCCACACUAUCAGCACAGAGGCCAAUGAGGGGCUUGAACUCAGGAACCAUGAGAUCAUGACCUGAGUCAAAAUCAAGAGUUGGAGGUUUAACUGGCUGAGCCACCUGGCACCCUUGGCAUCAAUUUUUUUAAAAAAAAGAUAUUGGUAUUUUUGUGUGUAUAACUGAUGCAGGUUUUGAAUGUGCUCCACCUAAUCCCACUGUUUCCAUAACUCCUAUAAUUUUUUUUAAGUUUAUUUAUUUUUGAGAGAGAGGAAGAGAGAGAGCAGGGGAGGGACAAAGAGAGAGAGAGGGAGAGAGAGAAUCCCAAGAAGGUUCCAUGCUGUCAGUGCAGAGCCCAACACAGGGUUCACACUCACGAACCAUGAGAUCAUGAACUGAGCCAAAAUCAGGAGUCAGAUUCUUAACCAAUUGAGCUACCCAGGUGUCCCCAUAACUCCUGCAUUUUUUAUCACAUGAUUUUGCAUUGCCUAAAGGAAUGGUUAAUUUUAUGUGUCUACUUCAUUAGGCCACAGUAUUGAGAUAUUUGGUCAAAUACCAGGCUAAACACUGCUAUAAAGGUAUAUUUUAUGGGAGAUUAACGUUUAAAUCCAUAGAUAUAGUAAAGAUCACCCUCCAUAAUGUGGGUGGGCAUCAACCAAUCAGUUAAAGGUCUUAAAAGAGUGUGAUUCCCUGAGGAAGAGGGAAUUCAGCCUCCAGACUGUCCUUGGAUAGGAACUGCAAUGUCGGCUCUUCCCUGGGUCUCCAGCAUGCUGCUCUGCCUUGCAGAUUUUGGACUUGCCAACCUCCAUCAUUAUGUAAGCCAAUUACUUAAAAUCUCUCUCUCUCUCUCUCUCUCUCUCUCUCUCUCUCUCUCACCUUUUUCAAUAGAUGAAAGAGACAGAGAGAGAGAGAGAUCCUAUUGGUUCUGUUUCUCUGGAGAAUCCUUACUAAAACAGCUGGUGAUUUUUAAGAACAUAUAUGUCAUAUUAUAGUGACCUGACUGUACCUCUGAACUCAUUCUUACUGUUUUCCAGCCAUUGCAAAGAGCAGGGCACUUCUGCUGUGUCAGACAAAUUCGUCCACUGCUGUUCUAUAUUCCAUUUCUUCCUAUUUCCCCUGGAAUCUUGCUAUUUUACUUUGUCUUUGUUCUUAUCCUGUCACCUCUUUCCCUGCUGCUUCCUUUCCUUCAUUAUGUAAACUCAGAUCACAAGGGCCAGAAGUUGGAGUGGAAUGGACAACUGUUAGGAUAGUUUUAUUCUAGGUUAUAGGAGAAGAUGAUCAUGUUUCCAAAAAGGAGCUUAACAAUAAAAAUGAGAAAAAUCUUAAAAACAUGUUGAAAGUAGAAUCAACAGAAUUUGGCAACCAGCAUGUGGCCAAUUUUGGGUGAGGCAAAAAUAAGUCUGUUUUUUCUCCCAAUCAUCUUGAUAAGUAGUUGUGGCAGUUUUACAAAAUUAAAAAAAAAAAAAAAAGGAGAGGAUUAAUUUUGGACAUAAAUUUAAUUUUUUGUAUAGUCUUCAAAUGUAUUAAUGAACAUGUUUCCAAUUAACUCCAUUUCUUAUCAAUUCUCCAAACUACUCUUGGCAAUUUUUCUAAUGCAUCCUUCUUUGUGGGGUGCCUCUCUGCCCCAAGUGUUUGUCUGACUUGUUUAUAGAAUAAUUCCUAGCUCAUCUUUAGGUUGCAACCAACUCCUGAUUCUCUGAUAUAAUUUUUAUUAUACCAGAUAGGCUGUAGUUGUUAAUGUUUUUUUUUUUCCUGUAAUAUUCUUGAUAAGGAAAAUCAUGUAUGGCUACCAACUGACACAGUGCUUGGCACAUAGUAGCUACUCAAUGAAUGUUUCUUAAACUAAGUGAAUUUUUGGGCCAACUAAUAUGAUUGUGUUCUGCCUUCACCUCCCCACUAAAUCUGAAUUCUGGAAUGAAACUCCAGCUUGGAUGGCAGGGACCUGUUGAUUCCAGUUUAAAAAAUUCUGUAGCUCUAGCUCCUAAUGACCUGUCCUCUGAACACAUGGGAAAUUAUAAACCUAAUGGUCAUAGAGUCAAUAUUUUCCAAACAAUAGGAUGAGAAAGUCUGAUUUCUUGAUAAAUUUGACACUUCCACUGCACCAACAACUUCUCCAGUGUUGACAAGGAUGCCAUCUGGGAACAAAGUUCAGCACAGCAUAUCCUGAUAAUGCCAAUGACCUCUUCAUGGAUUCUUAACAUAGUCCACUGGGUUUGUGGAAUUGGCAAAUUAGAAAAUUACUGUAACACUUAGUUGUAUUAAUUUCCUUGGGGCUGAAUCAGAGGCAUAUAUGGCAAGAUAUCUAUGUGACACAAUCAAGAGCCACAGUGAACUGAAACAAUGAAAUGUCAUAUAAUUUACCCUGAUUCUUAAAACUUCUUAAAUUGAUUCCUACCUUCCUCAGCUAUAGUAUAUUCUUACAAUGUAAAUAAUAAAUACUGCUUAGCUACCAAAUUCAUUUUAAAAAAUCUUUCAUUUCUAGAAGAGUGAAUUUUCUUAAAGAAGUAGGUAAAAUGUUGAACAAUAACAGAGAGGGAGGCAAACCAUAAGAAACUCUUAAAUACAGAAAACAAACUGAGGGCUACUGGAAAGGGAGUGGGUGAGGGGAUGGUUUAAAUGGCACAUAGGCAUUAAGGAGGGCACUUGGAAUGAGUACUGGGUGUUGUAUGUAAGGGACGAAUGACUGGGUUCUACUCCUGAACCCAAGACUACACUGUAUGUUAACUAACUUGAAUUUGAAUUAAAAAAUAAAAUACAAAUGAAAAAUUUAAAAAAAGUAAAAAGAAACAGUAACAAAAACUUGAUGUGAAUCCUGGAUUUACUCUUUACUAGCUGUGUGACCCAACAAGUUAUCUAAAUGGUCUGAGUUUAUAUAUUUUUAUCUCUCUAUAUCUCUGAGUUUAUAUCUCUUUAAAAUAGGAAAAGAGUAUUUAAUUUUAGGUUGAAAUGGAGCAAAUGUAAAUGUAGAUUUUAAGUGCCUACUACAGAGACUGUAUUUCUUUGUUUUUAUUUAUUUUUUUUUUAUUUUAUUUAUUUUUUUGGGGACAGAGAGAGACAGAGCAUGAACGGGGGAGGGGCAGAGAGAGAGGGAGACACAGAAUCGGAAACAGGCUCCAGGCUCCGAGCCAUCAGCCCAGAGCCCGACGCGGGGCUCGAACUCCCGGACCGCGAGAUCGUGACCUGGCUGAAGUCGGCCGCGCCGCUUAACCGACUGCGCCACCCAGGCGCCCCAGAGACUGUAUUUCUUAUAUGCACAAUAAAAUAGCAGUGUCUUUACAAUUUGCUCAUAAUAUAAGCACAUACUGUAUUUGCACUGUGUAAUCUGAUUUAUUUUUCAAAUUAAAGCAUUUGUGUUCUCAUAAAAUUAGCACAUGCACAUUAUAAAACUUUUACACAAUUUAGAAGUAUGAAUAAUAAGAGAAAGUCCCUCAUAUCAAUCUGCAAUUAACUAUGCACUGUGAACGCUGCCAAAUGCGCGCGCGCGUGCACGCGCGCGCGCGCGCACGCACGCACACACACACACACAAAUACAUACAUAUUAAGUAGGCUUCGUGUGUAGCACAGGGUUGAACUCACGACCCUGAGAGCAAGACCUGAGCUGAGCUCAAGAGUCCGAUGCCUAAACAACUGACCCACCCAGUCACUGUGCCCCCUGUCAGAUAUUUUUAUGAAUAUAUUUUUUCUACCAGAAAGAGGGUUUUAUUUUAUAUAUAUAUAUAUAUUAUAUAUAUAUAAUAUAUAUAUAGUUAUAUAUAAUUUAUAUGUAUAAUAUUAUAUAUUAUAUAUAAUAUAUAAUAAUAUAUAUAAUAUUAUAUAUAUAUAGUUCUAUAACUGCUUUUCAUUUAAUUUGUAAAAAAAAAAAAAAAAAAUUCCCUAGUCACUCAGCCAUCUUUAAUAGCUAUUGAAUACUUAUUUGUGUUUACAACCUAAUUGAGGGAAUUUUUUUAUAACCAGUACAAGAAUCCUAGGAAGAGAGAGAAGGCAGCCUUUGUUAAGAAAAUGUUAUGAUAACCACACUGUAAGAGGGAGGGUGGCAUCCUAGGUGUCAGGCUGGCAACUGGAAGUCCAAAGGAAGUGGGUAUCUCCUCUCCCCGAAAAAAGAAGAGAAUGUGGAUGUUCUUAAGAGGAGAGUGGAAGAGACCAGAAGCAGAGGAAGGAGUUAGCAGAGCUAAGGUGUGUGUGUGUGUGUGCGUGCGUGCAUGUGCGUGUUAGGAGGGGUAGUAUACAGAAAAGACCUCUCCUCUAAAGUGGAGAUGUGGCAGAGAAAAAGAAGGGAUAUGUCUAAUGGGAUUUUUCAGUAAGUCAUAGGUCCUGUGAAGUGAAACUGAAAAUAGCAGGAUGUUCUUUAAGUGAUUAACUUGUUAUGGAAGUUGAUAAAGGGAUUGGUGAGGGGCAGAAAAAAUGAUACCCUUAUGUAUGGCUCAGGGACUGAUAUCUGGAUAACAAAUAGAGAUAGUAUAAUUUAUUUAUAUGAUGUCAAAUACAUGACAAACCUAUCCAAAAAAGUCUAUAAGGAAAAUGUUUGUAAAUAUGCAUCUUUGCAUUUAUUACUCCCAUUAUUUUAUUUCUUUUUUAAUUUAAGUAUUUUAGCUAACUGACACAGUAUUGUCUACUAUGUUCCUUUCCUACUACCCAAGAAUUCCCACAGAUGUUCAACUUCUCUCCAAUAAGAAUUUCAUUCUAAAUGAAAAGGAUUCUUCAUUUCCAUCAUGAAUCUAAAUUUUUUAUGAAUUUUUGCAAAACACUCUGAGUUUAAGGUCUAUCCUUUCUUAAAAUUGAAGUUUAUGGUUUACCAUCUCCAUGAGUACAAAGUCGUUUAUUUCCUUUCUGAUUCUUUGUCACUUAUCAUUUGCUACCCAUUGAUUUGGGAUGUUUUACAUGUUCUAUACAUUUCCUGUCUGCGAAACUGAACUAUAAUGUGUGAAGGUAGUAAUGUCAUCUUAUCUACAGGACGUAUAGAACUCUCUCACUCUGUGAAGAAAUAUUUACCUAAAAAUGCUUAUAGUUUGAAUUUCAUAUUUUAAGAAUGUCAUAAAGUAACCAUAUCCUAACAUUGCUAGCAUUAUGAUUGCUCACAGAAGAAAAUUUCUGAAUAAUAGUUUCUAUUUUGUUCCACACAAUUCCUUAUAUUAUAAUUCAAGUUCUGAAAAUAAUGAUAAAGAGAUAGUUAAUUAUAACUUUAUACUGAGCGCUUACCAUAUGCCAGAGAUUGUUCUUAAAUUUUUACAUAAUUAUUAUAUUUAAUCCUUAUAACAAUCAGUGUGAUAGGUAUUAUUAUUUAAACUGAAUUUACUGUUGAGUAUACUAUGGACUGAAAUGGAGUAAAUAACAUACCUAAGGACACAUAGGUAGUAGCAGUAAAGUUGGGAAUUACAUUCAGGACUAUUUGACUCUAGGUUUAAACCACUACUGCAGAUCCCAACUCACUUAAAUUAAACUACAUUUCUUAAAGAACUUGUGUUGAGUCACUCUUCAAAUAAUUUUUUUAGAUUAAUUCAUCCUAAUAAAAUAAGAGGCUGAAGUUAGCUUUGCUUUGUGAGUUAAUUUAAUGAAGCAAUAGCCUCUUGAAAAUCCUCUAGGAUUUUAAAUAAACUCUAGGUCAAAAGCAGACAAAUUAGCAUAACAUUCAUAUUAAUGCCUCUCAAAGUGUGUUACACAAGAAGUCAAUGCUUUGAAAUCUAUGCAAUGCCAGAUAUAUUAUUUUCAAAGGGACUUUGGUUACUCAUUAUGGUGAUGGAUGACUGUGAUGAAAAUAUCAACAUAUGUCCAACUUUUUCCUUCAAUGUUUUCCCCCAUAAAUAUAACAUAGUGAUAGAGAAUGAAGAUUAUUUAAUGAGACAAGCACAGGGAUUAUUUGCAAUGGGUGCAAGUAAAUUUGAUUUUCAAAUUAUACAGUAUGACAUUCCUCAUGAUAUUACCUACCGAUUUUAUUUGACCUUGCCAUUGUUAGAAUUAAGAAAUGUCUGAACAGACAACAACCAGUUCAAUAGUUUUCAAUAAAUUGACUGUACCUCGUUAUAAAAUGAAUGUAUGCACCCAAGGGAGAACAUUUUCUUUUUCAAGGGGAGAUCUUUUUUUUUUUUUUUAAUCCAUAUGACUAAUGGAUUAGAUUUAGCAAGCCCCCAGUAUACUACCUAGACAUUUGUAUAUCAUUUGUGAUCUCCACAGCUGUGGUCCAGUUGACCUGAACAUCACGCAUGAGUGGGUUGAACUUGAAGGUUCUCAAGAGGGCAGGUUGAACUAUCUACCCUUGCAGUUACUAAAGUUGUGCACAUUUUAUAUUUUAUAGGAAUAAAUAUUAUAUUUCUGAGUAGGACCUAACAGUAUUCAGUUCGAAGCGAGAUUAAGCAAGAGCCGGAAUGUGGCCGAACCAGCAUUCGCCUGUGGCUUCAGGGUGCACAUUUGGGAACACACCGUGACACUGCCUGUCUUGAAUAAAUUUAGCUAAAUACUGCUUGCAGGAUUAGGCCAUCCUACAUGCUCAAGUAAGUCAUUCAGCCCUCUGUCCAUCAGAGUCUGCCUUUCUGGACUUUAACUGUCAGCAAAUUCCUGGUUGCAAAAUACUAUGUUAAAGCUCCUAUUUUCGCACAGCAAAUAUCCUGGGAUCUUAGAAUGUGAAAAAAGAAAAAAAGGGGAAAAAAAAGAAAGAAGAAAGACAUCUCUAAAUGAGAUUCUUGACCACAGCCUUGGUCAGACUGGAAACCGGUCAGAGAUUCUCUCACAAUUCCACGUUCAUCUGGAGUAAUCAGAAUGUAAGAUGUGGUUGGAAGAGCUAUCUAGUGCUUGGGCUGCAACUGUGUAAUCUCAAAGAACUUACAUUUUCUCCCUUGGCCUUAGCCAUAAGUAAAGCAUAUGGUCUAGUAUCUGAUAGGGAUACAAGUGACAGCUUCUAUUUCUACAGGAGUGUCUGUGCUAACAAGGCUGACCUAGGACCAAAUUAAGAUUAACCCUGAGUCCUUAUCAUAUUCAAGUGUCUAUUAAUAUGAGAAUAGUUGGAAAUAUAUAUUUAUUUUUUUCUUAUAAAAAGAAGAAUAAGGUAAGAAAUUAUUUGCUAUCGAAUUAUGACUCUAUAAUAUUAAUUUUUUGAACAAAUGAAUUUACAAAAGGAAUGCUUGCUCUUUUAGGAACCAAAAAACUAUAAUUUUAAAUCUGUUAAAUGUACAAGUUUAGCUGAAGAACCACUACUGAGCACAAUUUCUCUGUGGCAUAUUGAAUCCACAUUAAAAUGUUCUUUAUCUCUAAACAGGAAGCUGUUGUUUAGCCAGGUUUUCCACAACAUAUAUAUUCACAAAAUGCCCCAUAAAUAGAAACAGUUUCUUCCUUGUGGAAGGAAAUGUUAAAUAUAGUUACUGAGAUGAGUGCUGGAUCAAUACAUCAAUAUAGUUCAGGUUUCCUGAUUUCCAGAAAGAUGUGAAGCCUGAAGCAAACUAAUACAUAAUUGAAGUUAUAAAAAGAAUCCAUCAUUACUUAGGGGCAUUUUCCUCAAGAAAUAGUAUUUCCUCUCCCACAGAUUAUGCCUACUUUAUAGUUCUGAAAAGUAGUUUUUGCCAGAGUACCCUGAUGAUCAAUUUCUCUCUAAAGACCCUUCCUUGCCUUUCACUCCUAUUAGCAAAUGUGAUGGUUAAUUGUAUGUGUCAGCUUGACUGGACCACGGGGUGCCCAGAUAUUCGUUCAAACAUUAUUCUGAUUGUGUCUAGGAGGUGUUUUUUUGGUUAAGGCUAGCAUUUAAAUUAGGAGCCUGAGAAAGUAUACCACCCCUCCCACCUACCCUAUAUGGGUGGUCCUCAUCCAGUCAGUUGCAAGGCCUGAAUAGAACAACAAGGCUGACUGUCCUGCAAGUAGAAGGGAACUCCCCCUGCCUGACUACAGAGCCCACACAUCAGUCUUCUGCUUUUGGACUUGAAAUAAAACACCAGCUCUUCUCAGCCCCUGAGCCUGUUAUCUUCUAGAGUGGAACAACACCAUUAGCUCUUUUGGGUCACCAGCUUGCCAGCUGCAGGUCUGGGGACUUCUGAGCUUCCAUAAUGAAAUGGACUAAUUCCUUCUAACAUGUAUUUAUAUCUUACAAUAUAUAUUUCCUCAUAUAAUAAAGAAAUAGUAAUUCAAUAACAUGUUUUAUAAUUUCUAUUUAUAUAAUAUAUAUCUUAUCCUUUUAAAAUUAUAUUUUGUCAGUUCCAAUUUUCUAGAGAAUGCUGACUGGUAGGUUAUAGAUGCAUUUAAACAAAUGUGCUAGAUGGAAGAAUUUUCCUUUAUCAAGUAACUUGAGGUAAAACAGCUUCCUGUUUCAAAAUGUGAGCUUCAUUGAUUUGGAUUUUAUCUGAUAAGGAGAUUUUUAUUUGGGAAAGAACAUUAUAGUAUAGAAAACAUUACAAAUAACUCUACCUCUGUGUAAAGAUUUUACUGAAAGUUUCGCUUCUUUUUGGCAUCCUACUUGUAUCAGACUUUUUUUUUUUCCCCUACCAAACACAAGGGUCUUUAGGAACUAUGGAACUUUAGGAACAAAAAGAGUGUUUGCUCUUAACCCAAGGAAAAUAUAGUGAGAGUUUUGCUCUAACAUACUCAAGAGCUUUUAGAGCUGUGGACCAUUUAUUAAUUAUCAGCCCUACCUAUAUGAUUGUAAAUUGAUACCUACAGGUUAAUACAUAGUUAUUGAGCUCUCCUUCCAUGCUCAUUCCAUACUGUGAAAUGGGAAAAUAAAAGGAAAUAAGAUAGAGUCUCUAUAUGAGAUGGCACAUGUAAUAUUUAUGUAAUAUAUAUUUAGAUUUUUAUAUCUAGAAGGAGAUUUAUUAUGAGGAAUUGGCACACAUGAUUAUUGUGGCUGAAAAAUCCCACCAUCUGAGUCUGCAGUUGGGGACAUAGGAAAGCUAAUGGUGUGAUUUAGUCUGAGUCUGCAAAUCUGAGAACCAGGGGAAUGAUGAUGUAAAUAUCAGUCUGAGGGUGGAAGAAGAUGAAAUGAGAUACCCCAGAUGAAGAGCUAGACAGGAAAAAAAAAAAAAAGAAGAAGGUGAACGCUUCUUUCCUCUGUCUUUUGUUCUAUUCAGUCUAUCAGUGGAUUGGAUGAUGCCCAGCCACACUGGGGAGGACAAUCUAUUUCACUGAGUCUACUGAUUCAAAUGCUAAUCUCAUCUGCAAACAUACUCACAAACACAUCCAGAAAUAAGGUUUAAUCUAGGCAUCCUAUGGCCAGUCAAGUUGACACAUAAAAUUAACCAUCACAGGGGCUUAAGUAAUUUAUUCCAUAAUCUCUGUCUUUCCUCUUGUUUGUAUUAAUUCAUUUGCUUGCUUUAUUGUGAUAAGUGUAGUAAAUGAGUUUACCAGCUUCCAAAUUCACAAUGAGUAGACAGAACCCUUCUUGACACUAUCCCUAAGGAAAGGUUGAUUUACAUGGGCAAAGGAAGAGGAUCAGGAGUUAGUUCCUGAAUUGAUUUUGGCACCUGCCAUUUGUAGACAAUGCCUGUAAUGACUUGGGACAUAUGCAUGCAAGUAAUAAGGCUAGUGGCAGCAUGAAUUUCUCCUAGUAGCUUCUUGAUCAGUAGAAAUGGACAAGUGGAAAAGAAAACCCAGGGAGGAGGAUCUAAGCAAAUUUGUCUUUAAACCAUAAAGGUUUAUAUUUCCUUUUUUUCUUUUAUCACCUUGUUUCUGUUUCCUGACUCUUGGCUCUUUAUAGUGUUUUGGUACCUGUUACAAAAUUUAUGCUUUAUUUCUAAAAGCAUUAAGAGUAGGGUUAUAGGUUUUAAAGGAUGAAUGUGAGCUGCAUGGUAGAGUGGUUAAGUGCAAAGUCUUACUAGUCAAAUGGACAUGUAUUUGAGAGAUGAUUCUACAUUUUGACAGGGAAAUUUCUUAACUUCUUUAUACCUAAGUGUCUAAACCUAAAAUGGGAAUAAAAAACAAUGCUGGCCUCUUAGAAUCAUGUCAAGAACUAUAUUCACUGAUAUAAAAAAGAAUUGGGGUAGCUACAGGUCAAUGAGUCUCAGAUGGUAGGAGGGUUUGGAUGAUCCCCUAGUAGAGAGUUUAGAAGGUGGGGAGAGGGGAUGGGGACCCCAUGUAACUUCAGAUUGUCUCUCCUGCCUUUGAAACGUCAUCCAUUAGACUCUGAUCUAUACCUCAUACCAAGACAAAGAUACAGUGUCAGAUAAACACCAUAACUGAAUAAUAUGAAUUUAGCCAUUUUCUGGAUAAAGUUGAAAACAAACUUAGAGGAAAAAUUAACUUAAUCAUUGAAAACAUGGUUAAACACUUGUUUAAAAAAUCUUCACUAAAUACAUUAUCCUAAAAACAAUCUCAGAGGCAAAUUAGCAUACAUAAGUAAUACCACAAUUUUUCCCUUAAAAAACUAUUUUGAUUGAGGGUAUUAGUAAUGAAAGACAUUUUCAUCUAUUUCAACAAUACACAGGAAGCCUAAAAUCAACGAAAACAAGCAAAAAGAAACAGUCCUGAACAAAGGCUUAUACCUUCUCUAUUUGUACCAGAGAGAAUCUUAUAAUAGAGGAAUUAAGUGGUAUCAGGGAGCAAGAAUUCCUGUCCCCUUCAAGGGUUCUUCUAGCUGGACUAAGAAUCAAAUUGUCAUGAGACAGGCUAAUAGGAGAAAAUAAAAUUUAAUUGUGUACAUAAAGGGGAUCCACAUAGACAUGGAAACUCUAAAGACAGGCAAAAUGAAACAUAUGUCAUCCUGAACUAAGAAGGGGGUAGUCUGAGACUUCAGAGUACUUCACAGGGCAAUAAGAACAGUAGACAUUUGAGAACUGGAUUUUCAUCCUGACAUAUAAAUUGGUCACUCAGAUAAAACGUAUCUCUGCUAAUAACCCUUCUGGAAAAGAGGCCCCCUCCUAUUUAGAUUCUUCUGUGCAGUUAAGGGUGAGGCAAAAGUUUCUCUUGAGCCCAUAGGUUCUUGAUUGUCUUCAGUUUAGAAUGAUUUUCAUGACAAAGUGGCCCAACCUAGGGUAGCCUGCCUUCGACCUCUACAAUGAAAAUCCAGGGAGAAGCUGAGCAGGGGAAGGAAUAGAAAAAUUUUACUCCUAUAUAAAAAUCAGACUCCCAGAAUGUAAUGGAGAAGAAAUGAUUCACUUGUCUGAUUGAUAGUUUGUCAACAUCACAUCAAGAUUUGGUAGCUCUGGCUUGGGAAUGGGAGGUUUCAGUGUUGGGAGAAGUGGGAGGAAAUCGCCUCAGAAGAAAGAUUUUGUAUUCCUAGCAGACCGCCCUGAAUUCUCUAGAUGUUGUAUUGCAAUUACUGAGUUUUAGACCAUACAGUCUCUGCUCCCAUGGUUGGGUAGGAUGGGUAAUAUCCAGAGUAGCAUUCUAAAGAGAAGCUAUGGAAAAGCGUAAAAGGAAGACAAGUGGCAUAUGGUAAAUGAGGUGGCCAAAUUAAAACUAGACAAAAUGGGGCACCUGGGUGGCUCAGUUGGUUAAGCGACCAACUCUUGGUUUUGGCUCAGGUCACAAUCUCAUAGUUUGCGAGUUUGAGCCCUCCAUCAGGAUCCAUACUGACAGUGUGAAACCUUCCUAGGGUUCUCUCUCUCUCUCUCUCUUUCUGCCCCUCCCCCACAUGCAUGUGUGUAUGUAAUUAAAAGUAAUUAAAUAAACUUUAUUUUUUUUUUUAAAUUUUUUUUUCAACGUUUAUUUAUUUUUGGGACAGAGAGAGACAGAGCAUGAACGGGGGAGGGGCAGAGAGAGAGGGAGACACAGAAUCGGAAACAGGCUCCAGGCUCUGAGCCAUCAGCCCAGAGCCCGACGCGGGGCUCAAACUCACGGACCGCGAGAUCGUGACCUGGCUGAAGUCGGACACUUAACCGACUGCGCCACCCAGGCGCCCUAAAUAAACUUUAAAAACAGACAAGAUACAUGCAAAGACAAACACUAUUUUAAGUUUCUAUUUAAGUUUCAUUUUAAGAAUGAAAUCUUGCUAUUUGCAACAAGAAUAGAGCUAGAAAGUAUAAUGCUAAGCAAAAUAAACCAGUCAGAGAAAAACAAAUACCAUAUAAUUUCACUCAGAUGUAGAAUUUAAAAAACAGGGAAAAUGAGAGCGAGAGAGUGAGCGAGAAACCAGAAACCAGAUUCUUAACUAUAGAGAACAACCAGAUGGUUACCAGAGGGGAGGUGGGGGGGGCACGAUGGAUGACAUAGGUGAAGGGGAUUAAGGGUACAUUCAUCUGGAUGAGAACUGAGUAAUGUAUGGAACUGUUGAAUCACUAUAUCGCACACCUGGAAUAAUACAACACUGUGUGUUAACUAUACUGGGAUUAAAAUGAAAUAAAUAAAAACAAAUCAAACAAAAUAAUGUAUCAGGGAAAUUACUUUUCCUUCUUCGCUCAUGCGAUCCAUCCAUUUAUUCUGAUGCUCUGGGUGUUUCAUCCUGAGGGAUACAAAACCAAUUGGGUGGCUACAAAUAUCAUUUUACACAAGCUGAACCUGCCCUGGAAAAAAUGUCCACUACUGGAUUUUUCAGGUGUACUCUUCCCUGUGAAAGAAAUUAAUUAGCAAAUAAGAGCAAGACUUAUAUGAUUGAAGAUCCUGGUGACCUUUUAAAUCCUGACAAUUUGCUCUUGUCUGGGUAUUUCCAAUGGCACUAUCGCUAUUAGUAACCUAGUGGAGUCAUGUUUUAUACUUUGUUCCUAGACUCUACCUGACAUAUUUCUCUUUAAUUUCUAACCGAGAGAGGACCCAUAAAGAAUGUCGUGAGAAAGGCAGCUCUCCUCUGAGACUUGGUAUUAUAAGAAAAGGUCUGUUUUCGGGUCAGCCACUCAGGUGGAAUUACUCCCCAAGGGCAGCACGGUUUCUCUGAGGGAAGGUACAUCUUCCCCGGCCGCCCUUCACGGGACUAAUGAGAUACACAGGUCUGCAAUGCCAGCCACCUUGUGGACUUACCACCUAGUUUAUCAAGGAGAAGUUGACUCUGGGAGCAACUACAAAAAGGAACUAUUCUGAUUUAGAUGGUGUAGAAAUGCAGGCGAGGGCCUCUCCCUCCUGUCUCAUUUGAUCAUUUUUCAUGCUUUACCUCUGCUUCUCGGGGCCAAUUCGUCUUUUUCCCUCCACAUGCUAUGCUUUAAGUGUUUCCAGUUCUAACUAGAACUUGUCUUUGAACCAAAAAGAUUUACUUCACUCUUGGUUCUUUUCUUGCCCUCAUUUCUGUUUAUUGUCUCUAUGGCUCUUACAGCUUUUCUCUUGAUAAU